UACAGAGGUCUCAAGCGUUGUUCGGAUUCAUUGGGCGUAAAGGGUGCGUAGGUGGCGCUGUAAGUCGGGUGUGAAAUUUCGGAGCUUAACUCCGAAACUGCAUUCGAUACUGCGGUGCUUGAGGACUGGAGAGGAGACUGGAAUUCACGGUGUAGCAGUGAAAUGCGUAGAGAUCAUGAGGAAGACCAGUGGCGAAGGCGGGUCUCUGGACAGUUCCUGACACUGAGGCACGAAGGCCAGGGGAGCAAACGGG
RNAcentral lists this ribosomal RNA (253 nucleotides) under uncultured bacterium. Its description in RNAcentral is "partial 16S ribosomal RNA". It matches the Rfam family "Bacterial small subunit ribosomal RNA", at positions 524 to 776 of the family's 1533-position model. The record is from RNAcentral.